GCAAAAUAGCUAGCCUAGUUUAUAGCAAAACAAAUGACCAACCAUAUAUAACAAAACAAACCCAAACAUAAAAU
RNAcentral lists this ribosomal RNA (74 nucleotides) under Anguilla reinhardtii (speckled longfin eel). RNAcentral describes it as "partial 16S ribosomal RNA". Lineage: Eukaryota; Metazoa; Chordata; Actinopteri; Anguilliformes; Anguillidae. The record is from RNAcentral.